UGGCGAACGGGUGAGUAACACGUGGGUAACCUGCCCAUCAGAAGGGGAUAACACUUGGAAACAGGUGCUAAUACCGUAUAACACUAUUUUCCGCAUGGAAGAAAGUUGAAAGGCGCUUUUGCGUCACUGAUGGAUGGACCCGCGGUGCAUUAGCUAGUUGGUGAGGUAACGGCUCACCAAGGCAACGAUGCAUAGCCGACCUGAGAGGGUGAUCGGCCACACUGGGACUGAGCCACGGCCCAGACUCCUACGGGAGGCAGCAGUAGGGAAUCUUCGGCAAUGGACGAAAGUCUGACCGAGCAACGCCGCGUGAGUGAAGAAGGUUUUCGGAUCGUAAAACUCUGUUGUUAGAGAAGAACAAGGAUGAGAGUAAAACGUUCAUCCCUUGACGGAUCUAACCAGA
This 403-nucleotide ribosomal RNA is filed under the name Enterococcus casseliflavus. Its description in RNAcentral is "bacterial SSU rRNA". It matches the Rfam family "Bacterial small subunit ribosomal RNA", at positions 96 to 487 of the family's 1533-position model. The record is from RNAcentral. Lineage: Bacteria; Bacillati; Bacillota; Bacilli; Lactobacillales; Enterococcaceae.